RNAcentral lists this ribosomal RNA (492 nucleotides) under uncultured bacterium. Its description in RNAcentral is "partial 16S ribosomal RNA". It matches the Rfam family "Bacterial small subunit ribosomal RNA", at positions 29 to 507 of the family's 1533-position model. The record is from RNAcentral.
AGUGAACGCUGGCGGUAGGCCUAACACAUGCAAGUCGAACGGCAGCACAGUAAGAGCUUGCUCUUACGGGUGGCGAGUGGCGGACGGGUGAGGAAUACAUCGGAAUCUACUUUUUCGUGGGGGAUAACGUAGGUAAACUUACGCUAAUACCGCAUACGACCUACGGGUGAAAGCAGGGGAUCUUCGGACCUUGCGCGAUUGAAUGAGCCGAUGUCGGAUUAGCUAGUGGGCGGGGUAAAGGCCCACCAAGGCGACGAUCCGUAGCUGGACUGAGAGGAUGAUCAGCCACACUGGAAGUGGGACACGGUCCAGACGACUACGGGAGGCAGCAGUGGGGAAUAGUGGACAAUGGGGGGAAGCCUGGUCCAGCCAUACCGCGUGGGUGAAGAAGGCCUUCGGGUUGUAAAGACCUUUUGUUGGGAAAGAAAAGCAGCAGGUUAAUACCCAGCUGUUCUGACGGUACCCAAAGAAUAAGCACCGGCUAACUUCGUG